AGGGAAUCUUCGGCAAUGGACGAAAGUCUGACCGAGCAACGCCGCGUGAGUGAAGAAGGUUUUCGGAUCGUAAAACUCUGUUGUUAGAGAAGAACAAGGAUGAGAGUAGAACGUUCAUCCCUUGACGGUAUCUAACCAGAAAGCCACGGCUAACUACGUGCCAGCAGCCGCGGUAAUACGUAGGUGGCAAGCGUUGUCCGGAUUUAUUGGGCGUAAAGCGAGCGCAGGCGGUUUCUUAAGUCUGAUGUGAAAGCCCCCGGCUCAACCGGGGAGGGUCAUUGGAAACUGGGAGACUUGAGUGCAGAAGAGGAGAGUGGAAUUCCAUGUGUAGCGGUGAAAUGCGUAGAUAUAUGGAGGAACACCAGUGGCGAAGGCGGCUCUCUGGUCUGUAACUGACGCUGAGGCUCGAAAGCGUGGGGAGCGAACAGGAUUAGAUACCCUGGUAGUCCACGCCGUAAACGAUGAGUGCUAAGUGUUGGAGGGUUUCCGCCCUUCAGUGCUGCAGCAAACGCAUUAAGCACUCCGCCUGGGGAGUACGACCGCAAGGUUGAAACUCAAAGGAAUUGACGGGGGCCCGCACAAGCGGUGGAGCAUGUGGUUUAAUUCGAAGCAACGCGAAGAACCUUACCAGGUCUUGACAUCCUUUGACCACUCUAGAGAUAGAGCUUCCCCUUCGGGGGCAAAGUGACAGGUGGUGCAUGGUUGUCGUCAGCUCGUGUCGUGAGAUGUUGGGUUAAGUCCCGCAACGAGCGCAACCCUUAUUGUUAGUUGCCAUCAUUUAGUUGGGCACUCUAGCGAGACUGCCGGUGACAAACCGGAGGAAGGUGGGGAUGACGUCAAAUCAUCAUGCCCCUUAUGACCU
This 862-nucleotide ribosomal RNA is filed under the name uncultured bacterium. RNAcentral's name for it is "bacterial SSU rRNA". It matches the Rfam family "Bacterial small subunit ribosomal RNA", at positions 356 to 1210 of the family's 1533-position model. The record is from RNAcentral.